GACGAACGCUGGCGGCGUGCUUAACACAUGCAAGUCGAACGGAAAGGCCCUGCUUUUGUGGGGUGCUCGAGUGGCGAACGGGUGAGUAACACGUGAGUAACCUGCCCUUGACUUUGGGAUAACUUCAGGAAACUGGGGCUAAUACCGGAUAGGAGCUCCUGCUGCAUGGUGGGGGUUGGAAAGUUUCGGCGGUUGGGGAUGGACUCGCGGCUUAUCAGCUUGUUGGUGGGGUAGUGGCUUACCAAGGCUUUGACGGGUAGCCGGCCUGAGAGGGUGACCGGCCACAUUGGGACUGAGAUACGGCCCAGACUCCUACGGGAGGCAGCAGUGGGGAAUAUUGCACAAUGGGCGGAAGCCUGAUGCAGCAACGCCGCGUGCGGGAUGACGGCCUUCGGGUUGUAAACCGCUUCCGCCUGUGACGAAGCGUGAGUGACGGUAAUGGGUAAAGAAGGACCGGCUAACUACGUG
Molecule: ribosomal RNA, 468 nt
Filed under: uncultured bacterium
Lineage: Bacteria
Description: partial 16S ribosomal RNA
Rfam family: Bacterial small subunit ribosomal RNA
Source: RNAcentral